GUAACUACGUUACAGCGUCGGGUGUAGUGCGUAGGGUGCGAGGUGUUGCCGGAAUUGCUGGGCGGAAAGCGUGGGUAGGGGGGUUGUGUCGUCGUCUGUGAAAUUCCGGGACUGAACGCCGGGCGUGCAGGCUAUACGGGCAUAACUUGAGUACUGUAAGGGAUAAUGGAAUUCCUUGUGUAUCUGUGAAAUGCGCAGAUAUCAGGAGGAACACCGGUGGCGAAGGCGGGUCUCUGGGCAGUAACUGACGCUGAGGAUCGAAAGCAUGGGUAGCGAACAGGAUUAGAUACCCGAGUAGUC
Molecule: ribosomal RNA, 300 nt
Filed under: uncultured Nocardioides sp.
Lineage: Bacteria; Bacillati; Actinomycetota; Actinomycetes; Propionibacteriales; Nocardioidaceae
Description: bacterial SSU rRNA
Rfam family: Bacterial small subunit ribosomal RNA
Source: RNAcentral